This 1536-nucleotide long non-coding RNA is filed under the name Marmota monax (woodchuck). The record is from RNAcentral. Lineage: Eukaryota; Metazoa; Chordata; Mammalia; Rodentia; Sciuridae.
AUUGAACUCAGGGGCACUCAACCACUGAGCCACAUCCCCAGCCCUAUUUUGUAUUUUAUUUAGAGACAGGUUCUCACCAGUUGCUUAUUGACUCUUGGUCGCUGAGGCUGGCUUUGAACUUUCGAUCCUCCUGUCUUAGCCUCCCGAGCUGCUGGGAUUACAGGUGUGCACACAAUGCACUGCCUGUAACUGACUGCCUGUAUCUAGGUUUUAUCUAGGUUUUUUCUUCCAAUUUUUAUUUAUUCAUGUUUCAGAACUUAAAUCCAAAGAGACAUGCAGAGCAAGAAAGUGUUGAAGAGGACAAAGUCCUGAAGAAAAAGACAUCAGCCAUACAAGUAUCUUUUACAGAUUCCACAGCUUUAAAAUGAUUCUGUAUGUUGGAGAAACCUGUUUGUCAUAAUUGUUAAUGUACUUACUGCAUUUUGUAAAUGUGUGUUAGCCAUAUUGUGGGUCAUCCUCCUCACAUGGUUGUCUCUUGGAAGCUCCAAAGGAACGUGGUGCUGUUGUACCUAUGACAUGCUAUAUAAUGCUAAGCACAAUGUGUGUACUUAAUAAUGAGUGAAGAGCAGUAUUCUAUCCAUUCCCAGCCAAGAAAGCCUUUAAUGGCUCAAUCUAAUAAUCCAUUGGAUUUAUUGUGGUCUGUAGUAGUUGUGACUUGCCUUCAGUCACAGCCAGCCAGGUUUUGGUUUGAGAAAUUAAGUACAAGUCCAUCUAAGGAAGAAGUUAGCACUUCUUAUGCUCCUCCAAAUCCCCUCUCAUUUAUAUAUAAGCUAUGGGCAGCUUACAAAAUUGAUACAUCUGUUGUAUUGAAAAAUACUUGAAAUGAAAAAAUGAUAUUGAUGGGAUUCUCUUUCCCCAAACUACACAAACCAUGGGUAAGAACCAUGAGUCUAACCAGCAAGGUUUUUGGUUCAAGUCCUGACCUGUAUUUUCCAGAAUUUCUGUUCCUCCAUCCUUCUGUUACUCCCAUCCAGUAUGGCCAAUACAAAUAUCCAAGCCUGGAUACUUGAUCCAGCCUCUUGGUUUAAUAACCUUUAACUAUGUAUCUCCUACAAAUAGCCUCAGCCCUUUCUAUUCUACCUACCACCCUGAGCUAUAUAUAUGGUUAGAAUUGCAUGGCUGCAAUAACAAAAACCCACCCAAAGUGGCUGAAACAAGUAGGAAUUUGUCUCACACAACAGUAAGUCCCAUGGCAUUUCAUCCCAGUAAUGCCAUCAGAGGUCCCGUCAGUUUUUCUGUUAUACCAUCUUUAGUACAUUAUCUUUGCCUUCCUGCCUGCUUCCUCGUGGUUACAAGUGCUUUUGUACCUCCAACUCUCCCACCUGCAUCCAAUCAGACAAAAGGGACCAGGGAAGGGAUUGAGUUGUGUUUUUUUCCUACCAAGAUUUUGCCUUAUUAGUUGGAAAGGCAAACCUUUCCCAAGGACUUCUGUUUGUAUUUCAUUGGCCAAAACUGAAUCAUAAUGGGUACCCUUAGCUGCAAGGGAGGUAAGGAAAUCAAGUAUGGCACUUCUUUCAGGUGAUCGUUAGUAGUUCU